UACAACUUUCAACAACGGAUCUCUUGGUUCUGGCAUCGAUGAAGAACGCAGCGAAAUGCGAUACGUAGUGUGAAUUGCAGAAUUCAGUGAAUCAUCGAAUCUUUGAACGCACAUUGCGCCCUUUGGUAUUCCAAAGGGCAUGCCUGUUC
Molecule: ribosomal RNA, 149 nt
Filed under: Stemphylium globuliferum
Lineage: Eukaryota; Fungi; Ascomycota; Dothideomycetes; Pleosporales; Pleosporaceae
Description: 5.8S ribosomal RNA
Rfam family: 5.8S ribosomal RNA
About the family: 5.8S ribosomal RNA (5.8S rRNA) is a component of the large subunit of the eukaryotic ribosome. It is transcribed by RNA polymerase I as part of the 45S precursor that also contains 18S and 28S rRNA.
Source: RNAcentral